GCCCACAUAGCUCAGCAGGCAGAGCGUCGCCUUGGUAAGGCGGAGGUCACCGGUUCAAGCCCGGUUGUGGGCUCCA
This 76-nucleotide transfer RNA is filed under the name Thermoanaerobacterales bacterium. RNAcentral describes it as "tRNA-Thr". It matches the Rfam family "tRNA". Rfam says of the family: Transfer RNA (tRNA) molecules are approximately 80 nucleotides in length. Their secondary structure includes four short double-helical elements and three loops (D, anti-codon, and T loops). The record is from RNAcentral. Lineage: Bacteria; Bacillati; Bacillota; Clostridia; Thermoanaerobacterales.